CAGUCGCCACGGUAAUACGGAGGGGGCUAGCGUUGUUCGGAAUUACUGGGCGUAAAGCGCACGUAGGCGGCUUGGUAAGUUAGAGGUGAAAGCCCGGAGCUCAACUCCGGAAUUGCCUUUAAGACUGCCGAGCUAGUAGGUGAGAGAGGUAAGUGGAAUUCCGAGUGUAGAGGUGAAAUUCGUAGAUAUUCGGAAGAACACCAGUUGCGAAGGCGGCUUACUGGCUCAUUCUAGACGCUGAGGUGCGAAAGCGUGGGGAGCAAACAGGAUUAGAUACCCGAGUAGUCCCUGUCUCUUAUAA
Molecule: ribosomal RNA, 301 nt
Filed under: uncultured bacterium
Lineage: Bacteria
Description: partial 16S ribosomal RNA
Rfam family: Bacterial small subunit ribosomal RNA
Source: RNAcentral